GACGAACGCUGGCGGCGUGCUUAACACAUGCAAGUCGAACGGUAAGGCCCUUCGGGGUACACGAGUGGCGAACGGGUGGGUAACACGGGGGUGAUCUGCCCUGCACUUCGGGAUAAGCCUGGGAAACUGGGUCUAAUACCGGAUAGGACCACUGCCUGCAUGGGUGGUGGUUGAGAGCUUUUGCGGUGUGGGAUGGGCCCGCAGCCUAUCAGCUUGUUGGUGGGGUGAUGGCCUACCAAGGCGACGACGGGUAGCCGGCCUGAGAGGGUGACCGGCCACACUGGGACUGAGAUACGGCCCAGACUCCUACGGGAGGCAGCAGUGGGGAAUAUUGCACAAUGGGCGCAAGCCUGAUGCAGCGACGCCGCGUGAGGGAUGACGGCCUUCGGGUUGUAAACCUCUUUCAGCACCGACGAAGCGCAAGUGACGGUAGGUGCAGAAGAAGGACCGGCCAACUACGUGCCAGCCGCCGCCGUAA
RNAcentral lists this ribosomal RNA (478 nucleotides) under uncultured bacterium. Its description in RNAcentral is "partial 16S ribosomal RNA". It matches the Rfam family "Bacterial small subunit ribosomal RNA", at positions 28 to 523 of the family's 1533-position model. The record is from RNAcentral.